ACUAAUAAAAUAUCUCAUAAUUAUUAAGUCCAAAUUCGAUGGGCAAUUAGGCAUUAGAGACCAUCAAUAUUAAACCCUGAUCAAAGAGUUUAAAUUUCAAAUUCAAAAGUUGAAAUUCAAAAUUUUGACCACGGUACCCAAAAUGUGUGGAACUCAUAAUCAGAGAAUCCUAAUUCUCAAUCAUAAAGUCUCAGACAUAUAAGACUUAUAAUCAGCCAUC
Molecule: long non-coding RNA, 220 nt
Filed under: Elaeis guineensis (African oil palm)
Lineage: Eukaryota; Viridiplantae; Streptophyta; Magnoliopsida; Arecales; Arecaceae
Description: long non-coding RNA (EGUI_LNC074639)
Source: RNAcentral